GUGUCAGCCGCCGCGGUAAUACGUAGGAGGCGAGCGUUAUCCGGAUUUAUUGGGCGUAAAGGGCAAGUAGGCGGUUAGACAAGUUGGGUGUGACAUCUCCCGGCUCAACUGGGAGGGGCCAUUCAAGACUGUCUGACUGGAGGGCAGGAGAGGGGGGCGGAAUUCCUAGUGUAGCGGUGGAAUGCUCAGAUAUUAGGAAGAACACCAGUGGCGAAGGCGGCCUUCUGGCCUGCACCUGACGCUGAGAGGCGAAAGCUAGGGGAGCAAACGGGCUUAGAUACCCCGGUAGUCCUAGCUGUAAACGUUGGGUACUGGGUAUUAGGGGGCUAAAAUCCCUUAGUGCCGAAGCGAACGCGUUAAGUACCCCGCCUGGGGACUACGGCCGCAAGGUUAAA
This 395-nucleotide ribosomal RNA is filed under the name uncultured bacterium. Its description in RNAcentral is "bacterial SSU rRNA". It matches the Rfam family "Bacterial small subunit ribosomal RNA", at positions 505 to 898 of the family's 1533-position model. The record is from RNAcentral.